AUUGAACGCUGGCGGCAUGCCUUACACAUGCAAGUCGAACGGCAGCACGGGGGCAACCCUGGUGGCGAGUGGCGAACGGGUGAGUAAUACAUCGGAACGUGCCCAGUAGUGGGGGAUAGCCCGGCGAAAGCCGGAUUAAUACCGCAUACGACCUACGGGUGAAAGUGGGGGAUCGCAAGACCUCGCGCUAUCGGAGCGGCCGAUGUCAGUA
This 211-nucleotide ribosomal RNA is filed under the name uncultured bacterium. RNAcentral describes it as "partial 16S ribosomal RNA". It matches the Rfam family "Bacterial small subunit ribosomal RNA", at positions 30 to 241 of the family's 1533-position model. The record is from RNAcentral.